UGUCUGAGCCUGACUCUCUGCCCCUGAGCUCCCUUGGUGACAGCACCAAAAGAGACACUGCAAAGGGAAACUCUCCUCAUUGCACUGGGGGCAUCCAGGGAGCUCAGACUAAUAGACUCUGAGGUUCCUUCAUCUCUGCUGAUGAAGGGGGAAGCCUGGAUUCCUGGUUCAACAUGGUCUCUGGGUCAGAUUCAAAUAAGAGAUUCCUGAGGAUAAGCGGUAUGAACCAAAACUUCUUUUUCUUUUUACAAGAAUGUACCAGAGGGGAAAAAAAAAAGAAAAGGUCAGUGGUGGCUCAGUGCCUGCUAGGCCAGUGCUAGGCGCAUGGCUGCUGUUUCUGGUUGUGAGGUCACUUGUGGCUCAGUGCCUGAUAGGCCAGUGCUAGGCCCAUGGCUGCUGUUUUCAACUGUGAGGUCA
Molecule: long non-coding RNA, 417 nt
Filed under: Apteryx haastii (Great spotted kiwi)
Lineage: Eukaryota; Metazoa; Chordata; Aves; Apterygiformes; Apterygidae
Description: lncRNA (ENSAHAG00000013204.1)
Source: RNAcentral